Molecule: long non-coding RNA, 248 nt
Organism: Arabidopsis thaliana (thale cress)
Lineage: Eukaryota; Viridiplantae; Streptophyta; Magnoliopsida; Brassicales; Brassicaceae
Product: other RNA
Exons: 1
Source: RefSeq
AACAUAAAGAACAACGACAACUAGAAUUGGGGAUUCAAACUGAAAUCUCCUACGUCUCACUAGAGAAUCCCUUCCAAAACAUUCCACUGACACUUGUUGAAAUUUCUAUGUUUCUCUCUACUAGCUAGGAUCGCUCAAAUUACUUCACUGACUCUCUCUUUCUCUCAUAACACACACUCGUUCAAAAGCAAGCAAACUUCGAACGACUAAUUAAUUAAUGACUCACGAGUGCUUCUCACGUGGUGUCG